UUAAGCGACUAAGCGUACACGGUGGAUGCCCUGGCAGUCAGAGGCGAUGAAGGACGUGCUAAUCUGCGAAAAGCGUCGGUAAGGUGAUAUGAACCGUUAUAGCCGGCGAUGUCCGAAUGGGGAAACCCAGUGCAAUUCGUUGCACUAUCGUUAACUGAAUACAUAGGUUAACGAGGCGAACCGGGGGAACUGAAACAUCUAAGUACCCCGAGGAAAAGAAAUCAACCGAGAUUCCCCCAGUAGCGGCGAGCGAACGGGGAGCAGCCCAGAGUCUGAAUCAGCUUGUGUGUUAGUGGAACGGUCUGGAAAGUCCGACGGUACAGGGUGAUAGUCCCGUACACCAAAAUGCACAGGUUGUGAACUCGAAGAGUAGGGCGGGACACGUGGUAUCCUGUCUGAAUAUGGGGGGACCAUCCUCCAAGGCUAAAUACUCCUGACUGACCGAUAGUGAACCAGUACCGUGAGGGAAAGGCGAAAAGAACCCCGGCGAGGGGAGUGAAAAAGAACCUGAAACCGUGUACGUACAAGCAGUGGGAGCACCUUCGGGUGUGACUGCGUACCUUUUGUAUAAUGGGUCAGCGACUUAUAUUCUGUAGCAAGGUUAACCGUAUAGGGGAGCCGCAGGGAAACCGAGUCUUAACUGGGCGUUAAGUUGCAGGGUAUAGACCCGAAACCCGGUGAUCUAGCCAUGGGCAGGUUGAAGGUUGGGUAACACUAACUGGAGGACCGAACCGACUAAUGUUGAAAAAUUAGCGGAUGACUUGUGGCUGGGGGUGAAAGGCCAAUCAAACCGGGAGAUAGCUGGUUCUCCCCGAAAGCUAUUUAGGUAGCGCCUCGUGAACUCAUCUUCGGGGGUAGAGCACUGUUUCGGCUAGGGGGUCAUCCCGACUUACCAACCCGAUGCAAACUACGAAUACCGAAGAAUGUUAUCACGGGAGACACACGGCGGGUGCUAACGUCCGUCGUGAAGAGGGAAACAACCCAGACCGCCAGCUAAGGUCCCAAAGUCAUGGUUAAGUGGGAAACGAUGUGGGAAGGCACAGACAGCCAGGAUGUUGGCUUAGAAGCAGCCAUCAUUUAAAGAAAGCGUAAUAGCUCACUGGUCGAGUCGGCCUGCGCGGAAGAUGUAACGGGGCUAAACCAUGCACCGAAGCUGCGGCAGCGACACUAUGUGUUGUUGGGUAGGGGAGCGUUCUGUAAGCCUGCGAAGGUGUGCUGUGAGGCAUGCUGGAGGUAUCAGAAGUGCGAAUGCUGACAUAAGUAACGAUAAAGCGGGUGAAAAGCCCGCUCGCCGGAAGACCAAGGGUUCCUGUCCAACGUUAAUCGGGGCAGGGUGAGUCGACCCCUAAGGCGAGGCCGAAAGGCGUAGUCGAUGGGAAACAGGUUAAUAUUCCUGUACUUGGUGUUACUGCGAAGGGGGGACGGAGAAGGCUAUGUUAGCCGGGCGACGGUUGUCCCGGUUUAAGCAUGUAGGCUGGUUAUCCAGGCAAAUCCGGAUAAUCAAGGCUGAGGUGUGAUGACGAGGCACUACGGUGCUGAAGUAACAAAUGCCCUGCUUCCAGGAAAAGCCUCUAAGCAUCAGGUAACAUCAAAUCGUACCCCAAACCGACACAGGUGGUCAGGUAGAGAAUACCAAGGCGCUUGAGAGAACUCGGGUGAAGGAACUAGGCAAAAUGGUGCCGUAACUUCGGGAGAAGGCACGCUGGUGUGUAGGUGAAGUCCCUGCGGAUGGAGCUGAGACCAGUCGAAGAUACCAGCUGGCUGCAACUGUUUAUUAAAAACACAGCACUGUGCAAACACGAAAGUGGACGUAUACGGUGUGACGCCUGCCCGGUGCCGGAAGGUUAAUUGAUGGGGUUAUCCGUAAGGAGAAGCUCUUGAUCGAAGCCCCGGUAAACGGCGGCCGUAACUAUAACGGUCCUAAGGUAGCGAAAUUCCUUGUCGGGUAAGUUCCGACCUGCACGAAUGGCGUAAUGAUGGCCAGGCUGUCUCCACCCGAGACUCAGUGAAAUUGAACUCGCUGUGAAGAUGCAGUGUACCCGCGGCAAGACGGAAAGACCCCGUGAACCUUUACUAUAGCUUGACACUGAACAUUGAGCCUUGAUGUGUAGGAUAGGUGGGAGGCUUUGAAGCGUGGACGCCAGUCUGCGUGGAGCCAACCUUGAAAUACCACCCUUUAAUGUUUGAUGUUCUAACGUUGGCCCCUUACCGGGGUUGCGGACAGUGUCUGGUGGGUAGUUUGACUGGGGCGGUCUCCUCCCAAAGCGUAACGGAGGAGCACGAAGGUUAGCUAAUCCUGGUCGGACAUCAGGAGGUUAGUGCAAUGGCAUAAGCUAGCUUGACUGCGAGCGUGACGGCGCGAGCAGGUGCGAAAGCAGGUCAUAGUGAUCCGGUGGUUCUGAAUGGAAGGGCCAUCGCUCAACGGAUAAAAGGUACUCCGGGGAUAACAGGCUGAUACCGCCCAAGAGUUCAUAUCGACGGCGGUGUUUGGCACCUCGAUGUCGGCUCAUCACAUCCUGGGGCUGAAGUAGGUCCCAAGGGUAUGGCUGUUCGCCAUUUAAAGUGGUACGCGAGCUGGGUUUAGAACGUCGUGAGACAGUUCGGUCCCUAUCUGCCGUGGGCGCUGGAGAAUUGAGGGGGGCUGCUCCUAGUACGAGAGGACCGGAGUGGACGCAUCACUGGUGUUCGGGUUGUCAUGCCAAUGGCACUGCCCGGUAGCUAAAUGCGGAAGAGAUAAGUGCUGAAAGCAUCUAAGCACGAAACUUGCCCCGAGAUGAGUUCUCCCUGAGACUUUAAGUCUCCUGAAGGAACGUUGAAGACGACGACGUUGAUAGGCCGGGUGUGUAAGCGCAGCGAUGCGUUGAGCUAACCGGUACUAAUGAACCGUGAGGCUUAACCUU
RNAcentral lists this ribosomal RNA (2900 nucleotides) under Klebsiella pneumoniae. Its description in RNAcentral is "bacterial LSU rRNA". It matches the Rfam family "Bacterial large subunit ribosomal RNA". Lineage: Bacteria; Pseudomonadati; Pseudomonadota; Gammaproteobacteria; Enterobacterales; Enterobacteriaceae. The record is from RNAcentral.